Molecule: long non-coding RNA, 250 nt
Filed under: Manihot esculenta (cassava)
Lineage: Eukaryota; Viridiplantae; Streptophyta; Magnoliopsida; Malpighiales; Euphorbiaceae
Description: long non-coding RNA (MESC_LNC010225)
Source: RNAcentral
UUCUUCUUUCUUUCUUUUUCUUUUAUUUUUUUAUUUUUAAUUCAGCCAAUGAGUGGCUGAUUUCUUUCAUCUAGUUGAAUAUUGGUUGAAACUUUAGUUGUUUAAUGGGUUGUGAGACUUGAUCAAAUAUUGUUUAAUUUUGGGAAUUCAAUAUUCAUGCAAUUUCAUAUUUAAUUCUCAUAUUAUUUUGUUAUUGAAAUCUACGUUGAUUUUUUAUUGCAAAAUAAUUAUUUGUUAGUUUGAAUAAUUC